GUCAUCUUCAUCUUUCCACAUAAAAAAAUCAUCAAAAGUUUGUAGUAAUAAUAUUGAUGAUUUAUCUCUAAAGAAAUCAACAACAUUGGCUAAUUGGUAUGAAGAAUUUGAAGUACUUUCAAGAAAUUAUAAAAAAGCUCAAGAACCAUCAUCAAGGUACAAAUUACAAGUUAUUAAAGAAGUUCAAGAAUUGUCAUCUUCACCUAAUGUUUUUAUUCCAAU
Molecule: unclassified non-coding RNA, 222 nt
Filed under: Hevea brasiliensis (rubber tree)
Lineage: Eukaryota; Viridiplantae; Streptophyta; Magnoliopsida; Malpighiales; Euphorbiaceae
Source: RNAcentral